UGGGGAAUAUUAGACAAUGGGGGCAACCCUGAUCCAGCAAUGCCGCGUGUGUGAAGAAGGCCUUCGGGUUGUAAAGCACUUUUAUCGGGAACGAAACAUUGUCGGCCAAUACCCGGCAAGACUGACGGUACCCGAGGAAUAAGCACCGGCUAACUCCGUGCCAGCAGCCGCGGUAAUACGUAGGGGGCAAGCGUUGUCCGGAUUUACUGGGUGUAAAGGGCGCGCAGGCGGGAUAAAAAGUCAGUGGUGAAAUCCUACAGCUUAACUGUAGAACUGCCUUUGAUACUUUUAGUCUUGAGUUCGGGAGAGAGAGACGGAAUUCCAGGUGUAGUGGUGAAAUACGUAGAUAUCUGGAAGAACACCAGUUGCGAAGGCGGUCUCUUGGUCCGACACUGACGCUGAGGCGCGAAAGCGUGGGGAGCAAACA
Molecule: ribosomal RNA, 427 nt
Filed under: uncultured bacterium
Lineage: Bacteria
Description: bacterial SSU rRNA
Rfam family: Bacterial small subunit ribosomal RNA
Source: RNAcentral